Molecule: non-coding RNA, 88 nt
Organism: Mycena olivaceomarginata
Lineage: Eukaryota; Fungi; Basidiomycota; Agaricomycetes; Agaricales; Mycenaceae
Source: the annotation of a GenBank genome assembly
GGUUGUGUAGUGUAGUGGUUAUCACUCGAGAUUUUGAAACCAUCUUGUUCUCCUUCUCGUAACCCCGGUUCGAACCCGGGCACGACCU